This 2028-nucleotide ribosomal RNA is filed under the name Triticum aestivum (bread wheat). RNAcentral's name for it is "partial small subunit ribosomal RNA". The record is from RNAcentral. Lineage: Eukaryota; Viridiplantae; Streptophyta; Magnoliopsida; Poales; Poaceae.
AUGGUGCCGAGCAUUGCCGGGGCGGCGGCGGCGUCGUCGUCCGCGCACGCGCAUGCGCCGGCUGGGCGGCGGGCCAAGAGGGAGCCGGUCCACAUGCACGCCGGCAUCCGGCGGUCGCGCUCCGAGCCGCACCUCCGCUGCUCCCGCCGCGGCGGGGCCGCGGGCGCGUCGCUCACCACCAGCCGCUCCAUCGGCGUCUUCCCCUUCCAGUUCGGCGCCGCGCCGCUGCGCCCGCCGCCGCUCCCCGACAGCGUCGGCGGCGGCGACUACCGGCUCCUCACCGUGUGCGCCGGCGAGACCGACCCGGACCCGGACCCGGAAAUGCCGCAGGUCAGGACGCCCGAGGACCACUGGCUGGACCGGCUCCUGGAGCUGCGCUCCCGCUUCCACGACCCCACCAAGCGCUUCUUCACCGACAACGACAACCUCUUCGAGGAGCAGGACGACGACGACUACCACGAGGACGGCGGCUGCGGCGUGAACUACGAUGAGGAGCACACCGCGGCGGAGGCCGAUGACAAGUGGGACCGCGAGUCGUUCGUCAAGCUGCUGGCGCGGGCCCCUCCGGGCGAUGCCCGGCUGUUCGCGCAGCUGGCCUUCCUCUGCAACAUGGCCUACGUCAUCCCGGAGAUCAAGAGGGCUGAGCUGAGGAAACACUACGGACUCGAGCUGGUGACGUCGUCGGUACAGAAGAAGGCCGAGGCCAGCGCCGUGAGCGCUCAGGUGGACGGCGACUCCACACGGCCGCCGGGCGAUGCGCAGCAGUACGAGGUGGCUGCGGAGCCGCAGCCGCGACGGCCGGUCCGCCGCUCCAACCACCUGGCCUACGAGGUGGCCGCGUCGGCCGCGUCCUACGUCCAAGCGCGGGCCCGCGGCCUGCUCUCGCUCCGGGGGCAUCAACACCCACCGGCCGGGGAAGAAGACCGGCUGUACAACUCGGGCAUGGCGGCCUACGUUGCCGCUUCUACGGUCACGGCGGUGGUGGCCGCCGAGGACGAGGCGCGGCAAGAGGCCGCCCGUGACCUGCGGUCGCCGUUGUCCUCACCGUGCCAGUGGUUCGUCUGCGACGAGGCCGACAUGCGCACCCGCUGCUUCGUCAUCCAGGGCUCCGACUCGGUCGCGUCCUGGCAAGCCAACCUCCUCUUCGAGCCCACCACGUUCGAGGACACCGGCGUUCUCGUGCACCGCGGCAUCUAUGAGGCGGCCAAGGGCAUCUACGAGCAGCUGAUGCCGGAGAUCGUGGAUCACCUGAGGGCGCAGAAGGAGGGCGCUCGCCUGCGGUUCACGGGGCACUCGCUCGGCGGCAGUCUGGCGCUGCUUGUGAGUCUGAUGCUGGUGGCGCGCGGGGUGGUCGGCCCGGAGUCGCUGCUCCCCGUGGUCACCUUCGGCGCGCCGUCGGUGUUCUGCGGCGGACAGCGCGUGCUGGAGGCGCUCGGCGUCGGCGAGGGCCAUGUCCGCGCCGUGGCGAUGCACCGGGACAUCGUGCCGAGGGCAUUCUCGUGCCGGUACCCCGGCCACGCCGUCGCCGUGCUCAAGCGCCUCAACGGCGCGCUGCGCACGCACCCCUGCCUCAACAGCCAGAAGGUGCUGUACACGCCGAUGGGCACGACGUACAUCCUGCAGCCGGACGGCAAGGCGUCGCCGCACCACCCGUUCCUGCCGGAGGGCGCGGCGCUGUUCCGGGUGGCCAGCCCGGAGGAGCGCGCGGAGCCGUCGGGGUCGGGGAGGGCCGUGGUGGCCAGCGCCCUGCGCGCGUUCCUCAACUCGCCGCACCCGCUGGAGACGCUGAGCGACCUGUCGGCCUACGGGUCCGAGGGCGCCAUCCUCCGGGACCACGAGUCCGGCAACUACUUCCGGGCGCUCUACGCCCUCACCAAGGUGGCGCCGCGCCGCCGGAAGCAGCCGGAGAUCGUGUGGAGGCUUCCCGGCGUGGAGCGGCUGCAACAGUACUGGUGGCCGGGGGUCGCCGGCACCGUGGUCCCGAGGCCGGUGGCCGUCCACAGCAAGGAGCUGGUAUCCGAAGCCUGA